GUUGAAAUGCCGGUUCCUGUACAAUCACUGAAGUUAAGCAACUUUGAGCUUGAUCAGUAGAUAGGUGGGUGACCGCUUUGGAAUACCAGAUACUGUAA
RNAcentral lists this ribosomal RNA (98 nucleotides) under Acanthosepion pharaonis. The record is from RNAcentral. Lineage: Eukaryota; Metazoa; Mollusca; Cephalopoda; Sepiida; Sepiidae.